RNAcentral lists this ribosomal RNA (850 nucleotides) under Petalifera petalifera. Its description in RNAcentral is "large subunit ribosomal RNA". The stretch from base 448 to 694 matches the Rfam family "Archaeal large subunit ribosomal RNA", at positions 1784 to 2143 of the family's 2987-position model. Lineage: Eukaryota; Metazoa; Mollusca; Gastropoda; Aplysiida; Aplysiidae. The record is from RNAcentral.
UGUUUAUAAAAAUUUUAUUUUGAAUAAACAUUUAUUACCGAAGGGGUUUUAGGUAAACUAACUAAAUAGUAAAUCGUACUUUUUGCAUAACGGCUAUUCCAGAAGUAAAUCAAAUUUUAUUUUCCCGAAAUGAGAAGAUCUAAAUUAUCUAAACUUUUAUUAGAAAAUAAGAAGUUAUGUGUCAUUAUAACACUGAGAUUUUAAUUUAGGGGCGAAAAACCUACAAUUCUUAUGAUAUCUGGAUGUUCACGAAAAGUAUUUAGUACUAAAGACAAACAAUAAGUGCUUAGAUUUAUUGUAGAGAGCAUAGUAAAUUAAUAACAGGUUUUUAGGGUUAACACUUGUAUUUAACUGAAGAAAAAAAAAAAUUAAUUUUGGUCAUUAAUCUCUGUUUUUAGUGAACUUCCAUGUUAACUGAAACUUGGUUAUUUAUGAUUAGAUGAGUAAUGCUAAAAAAUAGGGAAAAGGAAUUCGGCAAAUUCUUAUCUCACCAGUUUAUCAAAAACAUAGCCUAGAGGAAAUUAUUCUAGGUGAAGCCUGCCCAGUGAUUUAAUUUAACGGCCGCGGUACUUUGACCGUGCUAAGGUAGCGUAAUCAGUUGACUUUUAAAUGAAGUCUUGUAUGAAUGGAUUUAUGGGAUUAAGCUGUCUCUUCCCUACUCUAUUGAAAUUACUAACUAGGUGAAAAGGCCUAUAAAUGAAAAAGGACGAGAAGACCCUUAGAGUUUUAAUAACGAUUUUUGUUGGGGCGACAAGAAGACAUCUAUAACUCUUCUAGUAUAAAACUCACUUGCCGGUUUUUUCAAGUAUGGAUAAACUACCUGAGGGAUAACAGCAUAAUCCAUUAAUGG